This 62-nucleotide transfer RNA is filed under the name Gessius rufidorsus. RNAcentral describes it as "Gessius sp. 'rufidorsus' tRNA-His". Lineage: Eukaryota; Metazoa; Arthropoda; Insecta; Hemiptera; Cicadellidae. The record is from RNAcentral.
AUUUAAAUAGUUUAAUUAAAAUAUAGAAUUGUGAUUUCUCAGAUACUAAAUUGUUUUAAGUU